This 836-nucleotide long non-coding RNA is filed under the name Mytilus galloprovincialis (Mediterranean mussel). The record is from RNAcentral. Lineage: Eukaryota; Metazoa; Mollusca; Bivalvia; Mytilida; Mytilidae.
UAUAUUAUAGUGCACAGUGGGAAAUGACAUAUAUAAAAUAUCAAACUAGGUUACUUUCAUUAUCAGCUUGUUCAAUUUAUGUCAAGGUUAUAUAUUGAUUUGCCUGAUACAACUUGAUUUGGUCUCAAGUUUUAUUGCUAAGACUGCAAUGACGGUCUUCAAACAAUGGGAAUUGUAAUGUAUGGACAAGUGCAGGCGUCGGUUAAACAGCUCUAUUGUUGUCCACGUGACAAAAACAUGGAUGUUACAUUCGAUAUCUCUACAUAAAAGCUAAACACGAGUCUCUAGCAGAAGAUGGGAUGUAUUUAACAAAGAGUCGUUGUCUGACAGUAACACAUGCCUAUAUCUGAUCUUAGUGAAUAGUUAAACGAAACAUCGGCGUUAUUGGGCUGUUUUAUAAAUAAUACAAAUAAUUGCUUGUUAAUUUACAAUUUAUACCAUAUAAUGGCAUAUUCAUUUAUCAGAAAUUAUUUUAAUCAAAUUUUGCUUGAAAUGGCACAGCUAUGCGCAGCUCCCCCCAAUUUUAUUGGCGGUUGACGGUUCUGUGAAAAUUUUAACUGUAGGCUAAAAUUGUCGCAGCACCGCCAAUUUGGCAGAUUUCGCUGCGCUUAGAUAACAUAUUUGCAGUUUACAGACUUAUUGUAAUCGUAUGAUAGCAUUAGCCUCUGAUUUCCAGGGUUAAUAGCUUAUCUUGAACUUCCCCUUUUCAUAUAUGGUCUGCCACCUCAAACAUAUUCGGCGAUCAUCAUAUAACAUUUUCAAAGACACAUAUGCAUUUUUAUCAGUUAAUUUUAGUUCAUAGAUCUACAUGUAUCACAAAUUGCAUUUCAUAUAAU